RNAcentral lists this transfer RNA (255 nucleotides) under Helianthus annuus (common sunflower). RNAcentral describes it as "hypothetical non coding rna". The stretch from base 2 to 74 matches the Rfam family "tRNA". Lineage: Eukaryota; Viridiplantae; Streptophyta; Magnoliopsida; Asterales; Asteraceae. The record is from RNAcentral.
UGCGGGGAUAGCUCAGUUGGGAGAGCGUCAGACUGAAGAUCUGAAGGUCACGUGUUCGAUCCACGUUCACCGCAUAUUUUUUUCAUUGCUUGAUGUUUUCGUAUUUGCUGGAUUGUUGGGUCUGGUCUUUGAUUGUCUCUACCAAAAAAGAAAAGAAAAAUAAAAUACUGUUCGACCAAAAGCGGGGAUAGCUCAGUUGGGAGAGCGUCAGACUGAAGAUCUGAAGGUCACGUGUUCGAUCCACGUUCACCGCAU